GAUGAACGCUGGCGGCGUGCCUAAUACAUGCAAGUCGAGCGAACAGACAAGGAGCUUGCUCCUUUGACGUUAGCGGCGGACGGGUGAGUAACACGUGGGUAACCUACCUAUAAGACUGGGAUAACUUCGGGAAACCGGAGCUAAUACUGGAUAAUAUUUCGAACCGCAUGGUUCGAUAGUGAAAGAUGGUUUUGCUAUCACUUAUAGAUGGACCCGCGCCGUAUUAGCUAGUUGGUAAGGUAACGGCUUACCAAGGCGACGAUACGUAGCCGACCUGAGAGGGUGAUCGGCCACACUGGAACUGAGACACGGUCCAGACUCCUACGGGAGGCAGCAGUAGGGAAUCUUCCGCAAUGGGCGAAAGCCUGACGGAGCAACGCCGCGUGAGUGAUGAAGGUCUUCGGAUCGUAAAACUCUGUUGUUAGGGAAGAACAAAUUUGUUAGCAACUGAACAAGUCUUGACGGUACCUAACCAGAAAGCCACGGCUAACUACGUGCCAGCCGCCGCCGUAA
Molecule: ribosomal RNA, 513 nt
Filed under: uncultured bacterium
Lineage: Bacteria
Description: partial 16S ribosomal RNA
Rfam family: Bacterial small subunit ribosomal RNA
Source: RNAcentral